CUCAAGGCUGAGAAGGGGGGAAGCAGCAGCUCCUUAGGUGGGUGGAAAUUCCUCAGGAAACCCAGUGCUGAGGAGAUCCUCUUAAAUUUGGCUUUUCCAGCUCGUCUGGGCUUUCCUAACAGGAUGGAGACAGGGCAGAGAAGUCAGGCAAUGAGGGAAAUGAUCCACUCCAAAGAACAGCCUUUGGCUAAAAAUUGACCUCUGCAUCCAGGCCUUGCUUAGAAGUGAGUCCAAUUUUUUGGAGCUAUUCCUGGCAAGCAGAGUGAGGUCCAGCUGAGGAAAAAAAAAAAAAAAAAAAAAAAGGGGGGGGGGGGAAAAAAAAAAAAAAAAAAAAAAAAAAAGCAGCUAAAUCCUGUCUUGUGAAGGAAAUUAAGCAGGAAUUUAAAAUCUUGGAGAAUCUGUGCUAGAGACUCUCAGGGAGAAACAUGAAAUGUCCCCCCCUUGCUCGGGGCUCUCAAAUCCCAGCUAAAUUAGGCUUUGGAUUAUGAAUAUUUGAAUGUGAACUAAUUCAUUUCCAUGUGAGUGAUGGAAAAGUUGGUUCAGCCAGGCUAUAGGAAUCAGCCACUCCUCCCUUGCAGCUCUUGCAGCCUUUGGAAGGAGCUGCUGGUGCUGAAGAGCCAGGGAAUCUCUGCUCAGGGUGUUUUGGGGCCCAGCCAUGCUCGUACCCCCAUUCCUGUGCAGUUCCUGGGGUCACACCUCCACUCCCCGAUCUGUGGCAGCUCUGUCGCUGCAAACAGGGAUUGGGAACCUGGGUCUGGCAAAGUUUGGGGCUCCAGAAUUUCCCCUGUGUCCUCCUGCUCUGCUGUUGGGGGAUUUUGGGGAGGUUUGGGCACUCCAGGAUGGCUGGGCCUGUGCCCUGCCUGGUUUUUGGGGGUCAGUGUUUUUGUGUCUGUGUCCUGCCUGGUUUUUUUGGGGGUCAGUAUUUCUCAGGUGUGUUCCUGACUGUUUUUUGGAGGUCAGUGUUUAUUAGAUGGAUCCCGCCUUGUUUUUUUUUGGGUCAGUAUUUCUCAGGUGUGUCCUGCUUUGUAUUUUUGGGGGUCAGUAUUUCUCAGGUGUGCUCUGCCUGGGUUUUUUUGGAUCAGAGUUUCUCAGGUGUAUCUUGCCUGGCUUUUUUUUGGGCUCUGCCUGGGUUUUUUUGGAUCAGAAUUUCUCAGGUGUAUCCUGCCUGGCUUUUUUUUGGGUCAGUGUUUCUGAGCCUGUGUCCUGCCUGGAUGUUUUUUUUGGGGGGGUCAGUAUUUUUCAGGCGUGUCCUGCUUGGAUUUUUUGGGGGUCAGUGUUUCUCAGAUGUAUCCUGCCUAGUUUUUUUUGGGUCAGAAUUUUUCAGGUGUGUCCUGCCUGGUUUUUUGGGGGUCAGUGUUUCUGAGCCUGUGUCCUGCCUGUUUUUUUUUUUUUUUGGGGGGGGGGGGUUUUUUUUUUUUUUUUUAGGGGUCGUUGUUUCUCAGGUGUGUCCUGCCUGGAUUUUUUGGGGGGAGUCAGUGUUUCUGUGUCUGUAUCCUGUCUGAUUUUUGGGGGUCAGUAUUUCUCAGGUGUGCCCUGCCUGGUUUUUUUUUGGGGAGCCAAUAAUCCUGAGCCUGUGUCCUGCCUGUUUUUUUUGGGGGGGUCAGUGAUCCUGAGCCUGCUCCACCUGUGAAAUUCCUGCAAUUCUGGGCAAGGACAAGGAGAAAAUGGAAUCUCUGGGUUUGAGGAAUCCAGAAUUCAGGGCUCAGAGCCCGGGCUGCUGCUCCUCACCCCACAAGUGGCCGUGCUCUUGUGCUGUGUGGCUUUUUAGGGAGCUUUGGGGUAAAAGAGAUCAUCUAUAAGCCAGCCCUUACCUCACUGAGGAGUCAUCCCCAGCACUGCCCAUCCUCUGAGAAACAUAAAACUGGUCAAUGCUGCGAGUAAACACAUCUAUUUUUGUAGUUUGUCUCCCAAGUCAAACAAAAAUAAGAGAUGACUCCAGGCUGAGCCCUACACUCAGUGGUAACUGAGAAGUGACAGAGGCAGGACCUGACCCCUGCAAGUCAGGCUGGCAUUUCUGGGCUCAGGGAGUUCAAUUGGUGCCCUUUAGCCACGAGCCUGCAGCUAUUAAUUAAGCAGAAAUUAAUUGUGGCACAGUGGGUGAGCUGUUCCUGGGGAAAUUUUCAGCAUCCUCUGAGUCAGAUGUGGGUGGAUAAGAGCUGAGCAAGGUCUGGCCUCCCAUCCUUGGGUGAAUCCUCACCUGUGCUGGGGCUGCACAAGCCUUCCCUGGAAUUCCAGGGGGAGUUUUCAGCCUCCUAAAGCUGCUCUGCUUCCUUUCCAAACGGGGAAUUUCCAAACUGCCAUAUAUAGAUCCCCCUGCAAACAAACCAGCCAUGUGGAGCUCCAACAAGGCUGUGCUCCCAAAAGCCUGCUCGUUCCAGCUGCAGGAAUUCCUCUCACACAAGAGGAAAUCUCUCUGCAUCUCUUCAGAAAUUUGGGCUUGUUUACAUCCCCUGAAUGUCACAGCAGCUGCAGCAAAACCUCCCCAGGCUCUGUGAAAUACCUGAGCCCCAGCACCACCACAACGAAAAUGGGGUUCAUUGGUUGCUGCUGGUUUUAUUUUAUUUGUUUUCCUACAAUUAUUCAUUGCUGCUGAGCUGUUCUGUAGCUUGGCAUGGGGAGAAGGGGGCUCUGUGAAACACCUGAGCCCCAGCACAACCACAACCAAAAUGGGGUAGAUUUGUUGCUGGGGGUUUUAUUUGGGUUUUUUUCCCCCUGCAAUUAUUCAUUGUUGCUGAGCUGGUGGUUUUAUUUGGGAUUUUUUUCAUUGGGAUUUUUUUUUUCGUUGUUCCUGAGCUGUUCUGUAGCUUGGCAUGGGGAGAAGGGGGCUCUGUGAAACACCUGAGCCCCAGCAUGACCACAACCAAAAUGGGGUUAAUUGGUUGCUGCUGGUUUUAUUUGGGUUUUUUUUUUCCUUACAAUUAUUCAUUGUUGCUGAGCUGGUGGUUUUAUUUGGGAUUUUUUUCAUUGGGAUUUUUUUUUUCAUUGUUCCUGAGCUGUUCUGUAGCUUGGCAUGGGGAGAAGGGGGCUCUGUGAAACACCUGAGCCCCAGCAUGACCACAACCAAAAUGGGGUUAAUUGGUUGCUGGGGGUUUUAUUUGGGUUUUUUUUUUCCUUACAAUUAUUCAUUGUUGCUGAGCUGGUGGUUUUAUUUGGGAUUUUUUUCAUUGGGAUUUUUUUUUUCAUUGUUCCUGAGCUGUUCUGUAGCUUGGGGGGUUUUAUUUUAUUUUUUUCCCCUACAAUUAUUCAUUAUUCCUGAGCUGUUCUGUAGCUUGGCACGGGGAGAAGGGGAUCACCCCGAGGGAAUUUUGGCCAAACCCACGGCAGGUGGAGAAUGGGAGCUCAGAAGUGAUGGGGAGCUGAGGCUGAGCUGAGAUUUCAGCAGGAGCAAAGCUGGAGUGACACCUCUGGCUUCAGGUGCAGGAUGCAUCCAGGAAAGAACCAGCACGAGCACCAGGGUUACUGGAAACAGGAUUUCCCAAUUCCUGCCAAGUUUAAAAAUAAACCCUGCGAGAUCUGAUUAUUUUCCAGGCUGCUUUUUCCUGCUUGCACCUACCCCAGCAGGAUUUAGAGGGAGAUGAAGGUUCCCUCCAGCUGCAGGGUGUGAAUGGUGUCCAUGGGGACGGGCUGGGGGAAAAAAAAGGGAAUUAUUCUGAGAUGAGCAACACUUUCUUGGGAAGUGAGUAAUGGAGGGAAAUGUUUCCAUGUAUCCAGCAGCACUGAUCGAUGGGAUGGGAUGGGAUGGGAUGGGAUGGGAUGGGAUGGGAUGGGAUGGGAUGGGAUGGGAUGGGAUGGAAUCAAUGGGAUGGGAUCAAUGGGAGCAGGGAUAUCCCAUCCCCCUAAAACCAUAUCCAGUCCCCCUAAAACCAUAUCCCAUUCCCCCAAACCAUAUCCCACUCCCCAAAACCAUAUCCCAUUCCCCCAAAACCAUAUCCAGUCCCCCUAAAACCAUAUCCCACUCCCCUUAAACCAUAUUCCAUUCCCCCAAAACCACAUCCCACUCCCCUUAAAUCACAUCCCACUCCCCUUAAACUAUAUCCCAUUCCCCCAAAACUGUAUCCCACUCCCCUUAAACCAUAUCCCACUCCCCUUAAACCAUAUCCCAUCCCCUAAAACCAUAUCCCACUCCCCUAAAACUACAUCCCAUUCCCCAAAACCUGGGAUGAAGCUGGUGCAGCCUGCCUGGGUGGGGCUGUUCCCAGCACAGGGCUGGGGAUGGAUCAUCCUGGGGCUGGCAGCUCCCCUGGGAUGCAGACGGGCCCCAAACUGGGAGGGGAACACAAACAAGUGCCCUCAGCUCUCUGAAUCCAUAGAUUUUUUAAUUAGAUCUUCUUUAAUUGGAAAAUACAGGUUUUUAAUUGCAUCUCCAGCCUGAUUUUCCAUUUGGUGGACGAGUUUGGACACAGCUUUUUUCCACUCUGAACACUCCUUGGCCCCAAACUCCUGGUGAGUUUUUUUUUUACAGUUCCCAGGGGAGAGGAAAUAAAAUUGGAGGAAAUAUUGCUCACCAGUGUCUGAAAUCCCAAAAGCUCCCAAACAUCCCUUUUUUGCUGCUUUUCAGCCAAGGGGAUGAGGACUGAUGGAUCUCUCCAUAACUGGAUGUCAUUUCCCAGCUUUUCCCUCUGCUGGUGACAUCUUGGACCUGUCCAGGAAAAAACUACAGUGGAAAGGGAAUUGUUGUCACCUCACCUGAGGAGUGGGAGCCAAACGCAGAUGUGAGGAGAGCUGGGAAAUUUCUGGGAAAGGGAAUUGGGGUUGGUUUUUGGUGUCCUGGCAGAAAUGCCCUGCACACAGGAGAGGCUGAACCUCGGCGUUUUUGGUGUUUGCUCCCCUCACCCAGCGGGAGAUUUAUCUUUAUCUGGGAGAUACCUGAGAUCUACCUUUUAUCCCAGAUUUACCUUUAAUCUGGGAGCCCCCUUUGCCCCAGGAUCCCAGAGCUGAGCCUGUGUUCAACAUCAGGCUGAGACAGACGAUCCCUGCGCUGUUCCUGUGCCAGCUGCAAUUCCCGAUAUUGCAACUCCCGAUAUUGCAAUUCCCGGUAUUGCAACUCCCGGUAUUGCAACUCCCGGCAUUGCAACUCCCGGCAUUGCUCCCUGCCCUUCCCCAGCUGGGCAGGGCUCCUGCUGCAGUUCCUGCCCGUCCCGGUGUCCCCUCAGCCCUUCCCGGGGGCUCUGAGUGUCCCCCACCCGUGGGAGGCAGCUUGUGGAACGCUCCUCCCAGAAGAUUGGCCAAUAUUCCCAGGGCAGGGCAGCUCCCCAGCCUGUCCUACUCCUUCUUUCCUUUAUAAACGUGUUGCUUUUUUUUUUUUUUCCCCUUCUUCUAGCUCAUUCCAGCAGAGCAGCGCUUUGGAUUUCUCGCAGCUCUUCUUUAUUUUUUUUCCUUUUUUUUUUCCUUUCCUUUUUUUUUUUUUUUUUUUUUUUUUUUUUUUCUUGUCUCGAGCUCUUCUUUUCUCCUUUCUUUUUUCAUUCUGAAGAGGCCGUGAGUUGACCUGCAGUUUCCCUCUGGUUACUGGCCCGCUGCCAGUGCCUCUCAGGGCCAAAGUUUUAUCUAUAGGGAUAUAUUUUUCAAGCCAGCUGCUCACACAGAGAGAAUCCCCGCUGCUGGGGCGAGCUCGGCCGGAGCUGCUCGUCGGGCUCCCGCUGUCAGGAUGGAUUUAUGGCUUUAAAAGGAGUCAGGAGGGGGGAGGAAGGAGAAUUAGGAUUGCCUGCAGGAGCCGGAGCUCGCAGCACAACUCCCGGGGAUCUCCAGGAUGGCAGCGGGACCAUGAGUGACCCCAGGCUCUGGAUCUGCCUUCACAGAGCCCAGCCCGUGGAUUUGAGCUGCUUUAA
This 5825-nucleotide long non-coding RNA is filed under the name Ficedula albicollis (Collared flycatcher). RNAcentral describes it as "lncRNA (ENSFALG00000023881.1)". Lineage: Eukaryota; Metazoa; Chordata; Aves; Passeriformes; Muscicapidae. The record is from RNAcentral.